UAAAUUCUCCCUUCUAAUGUAUUUAGAUGUGUAAAGCAACAGUGUGUUAGUGUUUUGCUAUACCUGAAAUGUAAAUUAGUAUUUUUCUAUCCCCAAACUGGAAAAUAUUAAAGAGUGGUAGUCAGUAUAAACAACAAAGCCAAGCAGUAAACUUGUGAGUUUGUUCAUAUUUUUUUGUGUAAUUUUUCGUGAAAACGAAGGCUUCCAGAGAAAUGAGAAAAUCUCUUAACAUACGUAAGUCGAGAACAAAAAAGCGCAAAAAUGUUUUUAAUCCAAAAACAGCUGAAACGGAUGAAAGUAGUUUCAGUGCUUCGGCGAAAAAAUUUAAAGAACAAGAGGAAAUCUCAGUUCCACGUGAUCCGUCUAUUGAGUAUCGCAUUUUAAAUUUUAUUACAGUAUUUGCAGCAAUUUCUGAAUAUGUGAAAUGUAAGAUCUGUGACGGAAAUGUCAAGUUUCAAACUGCUUCUGAACGAGGACUUGGUUUUAAAAUUGUUUUGCUGUGUGAUAAGUGUGCAGAUCGUAACAUAAAUUCUAGUCCUUUUGUCGCGCAUUCUUAUGAAAUAAAUCGACGAUUUUUAUUUGUCAUGAGAGUCCUCGGAUUAGGGUUAAAAGGUGCAGCAAAAUUUUGUGGAUUAAUGGACAUGCGAGCCUUUAUAUCACAGCCCACUUACGAUUUGAUAAUAGAUAAUAUUCACUCCAGUAUAAAAACAGCCACCGAAAAACUUUUUCAACAGGCUUGUACUGAAGAAAAACAUUUGACUUCCGAACAUCAAGGCAAUGAAGAUUCGACAGAAUUAACUGUAUCUGGCGAUGGUACAUGGAAAAAGCGAGGGUUUAGUUCCUUGUACGGUGUGACAUCAUUGAUCGGAUACUAUUCUGAUAAAAUCAUAGAUAUUGUUGUGAAAAGUUCCUACUGCAAACAGUGUGAAACUUGGAAGAAGAAACUCAGUACCGAAGAAUAUAAGGAAUGAUAUGCAGAACAUGAAGAUACUUGCACUGCAAAUCAUUCUGGUUCUUCUGGGAAAAUGGAAGUUGAUUCAGUCAUCGAAAUGUUCCAACGUUCAUUGAAAAAACUUGGAGUCAUGUACAAAAAUUACAUAGGAGACGGUGACUCCAAAACGUACUCAGGAAUUUUAAAGGCUGCACCUUAUGGUGAUCAAGAAGUUGUAUGUGUAGGUGGUUUUAACCAAAACAACAACGAGAGCUACAAUCAACUGAUUUGGAAAAUCUCUCCCAAAAUUGUUCCAGCCGGUUCGAAAACUGUGUAAAUUGCUACUUACAUAGCUGCUGGCAUAUUUAAUGAAGGAAUGGCAUCACUAUUGUAUUAUAUGAAUGCAAUAGGAAUUACACUUGGGCCCAAUGCGCAUUCAUAUGCCGAAAAAGAAGAUGAGAAGCGCGUGAGCAUUUCCGAUCUCAGAGCGCGUGAGAGCACCCGAGAUGGAAGAAUGGCUCGCAGACAACAUCAGCUUGAGUUAUUAGAAGCUGCUGAAUCGGUGGAGGGUGUAUUAUAUGGUCCUGGAAUAGACAACUCCAUAUGAUCCAGUUCCGAGAUAUAGUGGUCACCGCAAAACGUCUUUUUUGAGAGGAGCUCCUGGAGAUCAGCUGUAGCUCUUUUUCAAAUAAAUAUUUUUACUAGUACUAAGUCUUAAAAUACAGUUAAAAGAUACCAUAAUAUGUGUAUAAAUUUUUGGAUCUAUAAAUUUAAAAGUUUUCUCAGAAAAAAUUCUGGAAAAUUCACUUUUUUUCGGCCGUCUAACUGUAUAUAACCCCUUUCAAAAGAAUUUUAUUAAGAUCCAUA
Molecule: unclassified non-coding RNA, 1798 nt
Filed under: Cotesia glomerata
Lineage: Eukaryota; Metazoa; Arthropoda; Insecta; Hymenoptera; Braconidae
Description: uncharacterized LOC123265065, transcript variant X2
Source: RNAcentral